Non-coding RNA from Helianthus annuus (common sunflower), 156 nucleotides. NCBI's taxonomy places the organism in Eukaryota, Viridiplantae, Streptophyta, Magnoliopsida, Asterales, Asteraceae. The record is from Rfam.
AUACUUAUCUGGAUGGGGUUAAUUGGUGACCAGGAAGGCCCAUGGCCUAGGUUAGUGACCUCAACUUAGGAGGGGUGCUACCCUAAGGUCGGCCCAAGUGGUAUAGCCUACAUCAUAAUUUGUGGCAGCGAAGGCCUGUGUUUGUGCGUACUCGGU